Molecule: ribosomal RNA, 2741 nt
Organism: Tetranychus urticae (two-spotted spider mite)
Lineage: Eukaryota; Metazoa; Arthropoda; Arachnida; Trombidiformes; Tetranychidae
Rfam family: Eukaryotic small subunit ribosomal RNA
Source: Rfam
UACCUGGUUGAUCCUGCCAGUAGUCAUAUGCUUGUCUCAAGAUUAAGCCAUGCAUGUCUAAGUACAUACUGUUUAUAAAGUGAAACCGCGAAUGGCUCAUUAAAUCAGUGGCCACGGCCCCUAGCGAAUCUACCAUCUUUUUGUGUCCAAACAAGAACUUCAAAUCCUCAAAUUGUAGCAAAUACUCGUUUUCUAUUUUUUAUUCAUUGUUUCAACCCGGAAGCGCGAAACACGAAUACAUGAGUCACUAGAGAUAAGCACUUUCUUUGGAAGUCAUUUAAUCUACCUGAAAAGAUAAGAUUAACUUUUCCUGCCAUGCUUUCCAAAGGCUUUCAAAAUUUAUGCUUAGGAAAUUUUUUCAAAGAGUUACUACACUAAUUUGUCUGUAUCAAUUGAUUGUGAUGUGUUUAAAGUCUUAAAAAUUACCAGCAUAUUUUUCGGACCUCAGGUGAUAACAAAAUGAUAAAAUUGAACGAAGUCCGUAAACGGAUUAAGAAUUACAUGACUUGAAACUAACGCAUGGUAAAUUCCGUUCAAAACUUUAGCAUUUUCGCUGAUUGAGGCGCAAGGAAUUAAUGAAAAAAUCUAGCAAACUAAUCGUGCUAUUUUUCUGAAAUUUAAUUAUUAUAAAUAUAUCCCUAUUAUAAUCAUUGCUAGGAAAUUUCAAGUCUAUUGAACAAAUGGUUUCUGAGAAAAUAGAUGAAGUAAAUUGUCCAAUAAUUUAAGCCCACAGGUUAAUACAUGAACAAGUGUUCCAACCUCAGCUUGCUGACGGAAGGAUCGCAUUUAUUAGUACAAGACCAAUGAUUCUUAUUCACCUAGAACCCUGUUCAGUGAUUUCGGUCGCUGUCUAAGGACUAGCAGUGGGGAUCUUAGCAACUUCGGUUGCAUUUCUUGUGAUGACUCUGAAUAACUGAGCAAAUCGUAUGGCCUCUGAGCCGACGAUGUAUCCCUCAAGCAACUGCCUUAUCAACUGUCGAUGGUAGGUUAUGCGCCUACCAUGGUUGUAACGGGUAACGGGGAAUUAGGGUUCGAUUCCGGAGAGGGAGCCUGAGAAACGGCUACCACAUCUAAGGAAGGCAGCAGGCGCGCAAAUUACACAAUCCCAGUACGGGGAUGUAGUGACGAAAAAUAACAAUACGGGACUCUAUUGAGGCCCCGUAAUUGGAAUGAGUACAAUUUAAAUCCUUUAACGAGGAUCUAUUGGAGGGCAAGUCUGGUGCCAGCAGCCGCGGUAAUUCCAGCUCCAAUAGCGUAUAUUAAAGUUGCUGCGGUUAAAAAGCUCGUAGUUGGAUUUCAGUCGAACCUAUGGGGUCCACUGAUUAAAGGGUUAGAUGGUGAUGUUAGGUUUCUUGCUUGUGUCUACGGAUGCUUGCUUGAACCUUCAUUCCUCUUUCCUGGUGGUUACAUUCAUAGUGUUUAGACAGAAAAUUGCUCGAUAUUUGCUAUCAAUGCUCUUUACCGAGUGUUGAUUCAAGCGAUCGAGACUUUUACCUUGAAAAAAUCAGAGUGCUCAAAGCAGGCGUCCAAAACCUCGAAAGAGGUGCCUAAAAACGGUAUGGUCAACCAUCUAUAUGAUGCGUACCACUACCUUAACUUGAAUGAUCUUGCAUGGAAUAAUGGAAUAGGACCUUGGUUCUAUUUUGUUGGUCUUAAGAAUCCAAGGUAAUGAUUAAGAGGGACAGACGGGGGCAUUUGUAUUGCGGCGCUAGAGGUGAAAUUCUUGGACCGUCGCAAGACAAACUACAGCGAAAGCAUUUGCCAAGAAUGUUUUCAUUAAUCAAGAACGAAAGUUAGAGGUUCGAAGGCGAUCAGAUACCGCCCUAGUUCUAACCAUAAACGAUGCCAACCAGCGAUCAUUCUGAGUAACUAAUUUCAUGACUCGAAUGGAAGCUUCCGGGAAACCAAAGUUUUUGGGUUCCGGGGGAAGUAUGGUUGCAAAGCUGAAACUUAAAGGAAUUGACGGAAGGGCACCACCAGGAGUGGAGCUUGCGGCUUAAUUUGACUCAACACGGGAAAACUCACCCGGCCCGGACACUGAGAGGAUUGACAGAUUGAGAGCUCUUUCUUGAUUCAGUGGGUGGUGGUGCAUGGCCGUUCUUAGUUGGUGGAGUGAUUUGUCUGGUUAAUUCCGAUAACGAACGAGACUCUAGCCUACUAAAUAGACUUGCAGUUUACACUGCAGUACUCCCCCUUAGUCAACCUGUGGGUGGUAGUAUCUCUUGAUGGUUUCGGCUGUUGAGGGCUCUGCUGCUAUUAGCCUACAGAAUUGGCUAGGGUAAGGAUGCUGUAGCACUGUAAGGACUUCUUAGAGGGACAAGCGGCGCUCGCAGCCGCACGAAACAGAGCAAUAACAGGUCUGUGAUGCCCUUAGAUGUCCGGGGCCGCACGCGUGCUACACUGAAGUGGUCAUCGUGCAUACUGUUUCCUGCUCCGAAAGGAGUGGGUAACCGCUUGAACCCAUUUCGUGAUGGGGAUUGGGCAUUGUAAUUAUUGCCCAUGAACGAGGAAUUCCCAGUAAGCGUGAGUCAUUAGCUUGCGUUGAUUACGUCCCUGCCCUUUGUACACACCGCCCGUCGCUACUACCGAUUGAAUGAUUUAGUGAGGACUUCGGACUGGUCAAUCCAGACCAUUGGGAAACUAGUGGUCGGAUUGGCUGGAAAGAUGUUCAAACUUGAUCAUUUAGAGGAAGUAAAAGUCGUAACAAGGUUUCCGUAGGUGAACCUGCGGAAGGAUCAUUA